GCAAACUUGGUCAUUUAGAGGAAGUAAAAGUCGUAACAAGGUUUCCGUAGGUGAACCUGCGGAAGGAUCAUUGACGAAGUUCGAGGCGGCGUCGAACUGUGCUGGCCCUCACCGGGCAUGUGCACGUCCGACGCCGUCCGUCUCACACACACACCGUGAACCCACCUCUGCGGGGACGGACCGAGUUCAUAGGGUUUGCCGGCGACCGUCGGCUCUCCCCGGACCGAGGCCCGUCCUUUCGCUUCACACACACCCGUGUAACGUCCCGCAUGUCUGUCGUAAUCGAAUACAACUUUCAACAACGGAUCUCUUGGCUCUCGCAUCGAUGAAGAACGCAGC
RNAcentral lists this unclassified non-coding RNA (339 nucleotides) under uncultured fungus. RNAcentral's name for it is "partial contains small subunit ribosomal RNA, internal transcribed spacer 1, and 5.8S ribosomal RNA". The stretch from base 1 to 73 matches the Rfam family "Eukaryotic small subunit ribosomal RNA", at positions 1759 to 1831 of the family's 1831-position model. Lineage: Eukaryota; Fungi. The record is from RNAcentral.